Molecule: long non-coding RNA, 835 nt
Filed under: Helianthus annuus (common sunflower)
Lineage: Eukaryota; Viridiplantae; Streptophyta; Magnoliopsida; Asterales; Asteraceae
Description: hypothetical non coding rna
Source: RNAcentral
GCAUGCGCGCACGGGUGACACACACGCUCGUAUGUAAAGCAGCAGGGUCGCGUGAAGAUUAGCGUGCUUAUAUGUGCAGCAGCAAGGCUCGCAUGGAGGCUGAGAUGAUCGUAUGUAGAACAACAGACUCGUAUGGAUAUCGACGUGUUGGUAUGUAAAAGAGCUUGCGCGCAUGGCGACUUAUGUGCUCGUAAGUAAUGGAGUAUGCGCGCGAAGCGACUAACGGGCUCGUUUGUAGAGGAGCAUGUGCGCGUGGCGACUUACGUGCUCGUAUGUAGAGGAGCAUGCGCGCGUGGCGACUUACGUGCUCGUAUGUAAAAGAGCAUGCGCGCGUGGCGACUUACGUGCUCGUAUGUAAUAGAGUAUGCGCGCGUGGCGACUAACGGGCUCGUAUGUAAAGGAGCGUGCGCCCGAGGCGACUCACGUGCUCGUAUGUAAAGGAGCAUGCGCCAGCCGGCGACUUACGUGCUCGUAUGUAAAGGAGCAUGCGCCAGCCGGCGACUUACGUGCUCAUAAGUAAUGGAGCAUGCGUGCGUGGCGACUUACGUGCUCGUAUGUUGAGGAGCAUGCGUGUAUGACGACUUACGUGCUCGUAUGUAAAGGAGCAUGCGCCAGCCGGCGACUUACGUGCUCAUAUGUUGAAGGAGCAUGCGUGUAUGACGACUUACGUGCUCGUAUGUUGAGGAGCAAGCGUGUAUGACGACUUACGUGCUCGUAUGUAGAGCAGCAGUCUCGCAUGGAGGCUGAGAUACUCGUAUGUAGAGCAGCAGACUCGUAUGGAGACCGACGUUCUCGUAUGUAAAUGAGCAUGCGCGGAUGGCGACUUACGUGCUCG